GAGUUUGUGGAGCGCGUGGUCUG
RNAcentral lists this microRNA (23 nucleotides) under Eptesicus fuscus (big brown bat). Its description in RNAcentral is "efu-miR-9284". Lineage: Eukaryota; Metazoa; Chordata; Mammalia; Chiroptera; Vespertilionidae. The record is from miRBase by way of RNAcentral.